UUCCUUUUUGGUUCGGUUUUGGUUAUUUCGAUGCACUUCCAGCUCCUGUGUAUAUAUAUAUAUAUAUUAUUAUUUUCCUUCAGUUCAGCUGCGGGCUCCUUAAAAGAGAAUAAAAGGUCAGUGAGUGCACGUGGUGGUAUCUGCAGUGCUUUGAGGCCGCCAUUGACCCCCCCCCUCCCCCACUAUUCCGGCCUUAUUCCCCUAUUUGGGAUCAUUGUCACUCUCAGCCCCCCCUUAUCAACCCCCCUCCCCCCCCCCCAGGGUGCUGCGGGGUCCCUACGGGCCCUUCACGACAGCCCGCAGUGCUUUACGGCACUGCCCUUCGCGUCACCUGCGGCGCUUUACGGCACUGCCAUUCACGACACCCUGCAGCGCUUUACGGCACUGCCCUCCCUUCGCGGCACCCUGCGGCGCUUUUUAACCCGUCGCCUCAGGCCACCCAGCGGUACUUUACGGCUGACGGCACUUUACGGCACUGCUCUUCGCGACACCCCCACAGCGCUUUACGGCACCCCCCUUCACGACACCCAGCAGCGCUUUACGGCACUGCCCUUCGCGACACCCCGCGGCGCUUCUUUAACCUGCGCCUCAGGACACCCCACGGCGCUUUACGGCAUUGCCCUUCACGACACCCCGCGACGCUUUUUAACUCGUCGCCUCAGGCCACCCAGCGGUGCUUUACGGCUGACGGCGCUUUACGGCACUGCCCUUCACGAUACCCAGCAGCGCUUUACGACACUGCCCUUCGCGACACCCCGCAGCGCUUUACGGCACUGCCCUUCGCGACACCCCGCGGCACUCUUUAACCUGCGCCUCAGGCCACCCGGCGGUGCUUUACGGCCGGCGGCGCUUUACGGCAGCGCCCCGGUCGUGGCUGGUGGUGGUGGCGGCGGCGGCGUCGCUUUGCGGCCGAAUCUCGAUGAGUUUUUACGACGCUUUCCGCGGCUUCUUCGGCUUCCCGGGGCGCGGCAGGCCCCGGGACCCGUUAUUCGGUGCACCGUGGGAUGA
This 1008-nucleotide long non-coding RNA is filed under the name Coturnix japonica (Japanese quail). RNAcentral describes it as "lncRNA (ENSCJPG00005014212.1)". The record is from RNAcentral. Lineage: Eukaryota; Metazoa; Chordata; Aves; Galliformes; Phasianidae.